Molecule: ribosomal RNA, 253 nt
Filed under: uncultured bacterium
Lineage: Bacteria
Description: partial 16S ribosomal RNA
Rfam family: Bacterial small subunit ribosomal RNA
Source: RNAcentral
UACGAAGGGUGCAAACGUUGCUCGGAAUCAUUGGGCGUAAAGCGCACGUAGGCGGCCUUGCAAGUCGGAUGUGAAAUCCCUCGGCUCAACCGAGGACGUGCAUCCGAAACUGCUUGGCUCGAGUAUGGAAGAGGGUCGCAGAAUUCCCGGUGUAGAGGUGAAAUUCGUAGAUAUCGGGAGGAACACCCAUAGCGAAGGCAGCUUGCUGGGACGAUACUGACGCUAAGGCUCGAAAGCGUGGGGAGCGAACAGG